This 223-nucleotide non-coding RNA is filed under the name uncultured Entomoneis. The record is from RNAcentral. Lineage: Eukaryota; Bacillariophyta; Bacillariophyceae; Surirellales; Surirellaceae.
UGUAACAAAGAGAAGAAAAAGCAAAAACACCAUGAGUGAGCUAAUCAAAAAAUGCCUUACCCGCUUGAUUGUUAAUUGUUGUGUGUAUUUGUUUUUGCUUUUUGUUGUUGUUGAUUGUUGUUCUUUUUUGUUUGUUGUUUUUUCCUAUUGAUUGUUGUGUAUUGCCUCAAAAGCAGCAGGCUGCAAAUCUCAAAAAAACAAAACGCCACAUGCGAAGAACACA